This 468-nucleotide ribosomal RNA is filed under the name uncultured bacterium. RNAcentral describes it as "partial 16S ribosomal RNA". It matches the Rfam family "Bacterial small subunit ribosomal RNA", at positions 28 to 507 of the family's 1533-position model. The record is from RNAcentral.
GACGAACGCUGGCGGCGGGCUUAACACAUGCAAGUCGAACGGAAAGGCCCGGCUUUUGUGCGGUGCUCGAGUGGCGCACGCGCGCGUGACACGUAAGUAACCUGCCCCUGACUUUGGGAUAACUUCAGGAAACUGGGGCUCAUACCGGAUAGGAGCUCCUGCUGCAUGGUGGGGGUUGGAAAGUUGCGGCGGUUGGGGAUGGACUAGCGGCUUAUCAGCCUGUUGGUGGGGUAGUGGCUUACCAAGGCUUCGAAGGGUAGCCGGCCUGAGAGGGUGACCGGCCACAUUGGCACAGAGAUACGGCCCAGAGUCGUACGGGAUACAGCAGUGGGGAAUAUUGCCUAAAGGAGGCAAGUCGGGUGCAGCAACGCCGCGUGCGGGAUGAUGACCUGCUGGUAGUAAAGCACUUUCGCGUGCACCGAAGCGUGAGUGAAGGUACUGGGUAAAUAAGCACCGGCUAACUACGUG